Molecule: ribosomal RNA, 451 nt
Filed under: uncultured Acholeplasma sp.
Lineage: Bacteria; Bacillati; Mycoplasmatota; Mollicutes; Acholeplasmatales; Acholeplasmataceae
Description: bacterial SSU rRNA
Rfam family: Bacterial small subunit ribosomal RNA
Source: RNAcentral
GCACAAGCGGUGGAUCAUGUGUUUAAUUCGAUGAUACGCGAAGAACCUUACCAGGUCUUGACAUCCCCUGCAAAGCUAUGGAGACAUAGUGGAGGUUAUCAGGGAGACAGGUGGUGCAUGGUUGUCGUCAGCUCGUGUCGUGAGAUGUUGGGUUAAGUCCCGCAACGAGCGCAACCCUUAUUGCUAGUUACCAUCAUUGAGUUGGGGACUCUAGCGAGACUGCCAGUGAUAAACUGGAGGAAGUGGGGAUGACGUCAAAUCAUCAUGCCCCUUAUGACCUGGGCUACAAACGUGAUACAAUGGCUGAAACAAAGGGCAGCGAAGCAGUGAUGUGGAGCGAAACCCAAAAAGCAGUCUCAGUUCGGAUUGAAGUCUGCAACUCGACUUCAUGAAGUCGGAAUCGCUAGUAAUCGCGGAUCAGCACGCCGCGGUGAAUACGUUCCCGGGCCUU